GGGCUCUUAGCUCAGUUGGUUAGAGCGCAUCCCUGAUAAGGAUGAGGCCUCUGGUUCGAAUCCAGAAGAGCCCA
Molecule: transfer RNA, 74 nt
Filed under: Bacillota bacterium
Lineage: Bacteria; Bacillati; Bacillota
Description: Firmicutes bacterium (hot springs metagenome) tRNA-Ile
Rfam family: tRNA
About the family: Transfer RNA (tRNA) molecules are approximately 80 nucleotides in length. Their secondary structure includes four short double-helical elements and three loops (D, anti-codon, and T loops).
Source: RNAcentral